UACAGGGGGGGCAAGCGUUGUUCGGAAUUACUGGGCGUAAAGGGCUUGUAGGUGGCCAAUUAAGUCAGACGUGAAAUCCCUCAGCUUAACUGGGGAACUGCGUCUGAUACUGGAUGGCUUGAGUUUGGGAGAGGGAUGCGGAAUUCCAGGUGUAGCGGUGAAAUGCGUAGAUAUCUGGAGGAACACCGGUGGCGAAGGCGGCAUCCUGGACCAACACUGACACUGAUGAGCGAAAGCCAGGGGAGCAAACGGG
This 253-nucleotide ribosomal RNA is filed under the name uncultured bacterium. RNAcentral's name for it is "partial 16S ribosomal RNA". It matches the Rfam family "Bacterial small subunit ribosomal RNA", at positions 524 to 776 of the family's 1533-position model. The record is from RNAcentral.